UCCGUAGGCGGGCAAUUAAGUCAGAGGUGAAAUCCCACAGCUCAACUGUGGAACUGCCUUUGAUACUGGUUGUCUUGAGUUACAGUGAAGUAGAUAGAAUAUGUAGUGUAGCGGUGAAAUGCAUAGAUAUUACAUAGAAUACCGAUGGCGAAGGCAGUCUACUAACUGUAUACUGACGCUAAUGGACGAAAGCGUGGGGAGCGAACAGGAUUAGAUACCCUGGUAGUCC
RNAcentral lists this ribosomal RNA (229 nucleotides) under uncultured bacterium. RNAcentral describes it as "partial 16S ribosomal RNA". It matches the Rfam family "Bacterial small subunit ribosomal RNA", at positions 568 to 796 of the family's 1533-position model. The record is from RNAcentral.